Molecule: ribosomal RNA, 493 nt
Filed under: uncultured bacterium
Lineage: Bacteria
Description: bacterial SSU rRNA
Rfam family: Bacterial small subunit ribosomal RNA
Source: RNAcentral
AUUGAACGCUGGCGGCAGGCCUAACACAUGCAAGUCGAGCGGGGUUUUCGGACCUAGCGGCGGACGGGUGAGUAAUGCGUAGGAAGCUACCCGACAGAGGGGGAUACCAGUUGGAAACGACUGUUAAUACCGCAUAAUGUCUACGGACCAAAGUGUGGGACCUUCGGGCCACAUGCUGUCGGAUGCGCCUACGUGGGAUUAGCUAGUUGGUGAGGUAAUGGCUCACCAAGGCGACGAUCCCUAGCUGGUUUGAGAGGAUGAUCAGCCACACUGGAACUGAGACACGGUCCAGACUCCUACGGGAGGCAGCAGUGGGGAAUAUUGGACAAUGGGCGAAAGCCUGAUCCAGCCAUGCCGCGUGUGUGAAGAAGGUCUUCGGAUUGUAAAGCACUUUAAGUUGGGAGGAAGGGUAGUAACCUAAUACGUUGCUACUUUGACGUUACCGACAGAAUAAGCACCGGCGUAACUUCGUGCCAGCAGCCGCGGUAAAGUC